Leopardus geoffroyi (Geoffroy's cat) is the source of this 1338-nucleotide long non-coding RNA. RefSeq lists it as uncharacterized. Lineage: Eukaryota; Metazoa; Chordata; Mammalia; Carnivora; Felidae. The record is from RefSeq and is a predicted model, not a curated record. The transcript is spliced from 4 exons.
UGCAGAACUUCUAGCACCUCCGGAGAGAGAAAAGUGAGGGAAGCCCAGGUCUAGUGAGCCAAAAAGCCCGGAAAAGCAAGCCCUCCCCAGCACCCUAAAACGAAAACCCAGAUGCCCUUCAGGACAAUCGGCCAUCACCCAAAGCACAGAGCAGCGAAUCUCCAGUCGAAGGACCCGUUUAUUCGUGGCUGCUUUGGUCCUCCGCUUUCUUAAGGAGUUAAAUUCAUAUCAUCAAAGGCUCUUAUUCAAGUAAGCAACAAUACUCCAAUCUGGCUAUGCAUGAAAAUCACUUGGGAUGUUUCUAAAAGUGAGAUUCCUGGAUCUACCCUGAAGGUUCCUGAUAAGGCCCAAAGCCACUUCUUGAGCAUGAGGCUCAUGUGCAAUGGCACUUGUUGGAGUUGCCAGGUGAAACACAGGGCACCCAGAUAAUUUGAAUUUCUGAAUGACAACGAAAAAUCUCUAAUCCCACCAUUCCAACCAGAGCAGAAGGGCAGCCGUGAAGGAACCACAAUUCCUGGAUCGGGGUGGGCAAGAGGCUAACCCUUGCCGAGGACCCACCAGACACAGUGGUGCUGCCAGCUGUGUCUGAGAACAGAGAUGGUCCUGACGUGCCCUACCUAAAUGCGUCAUAGGGAAUGUUCACUCAGCCUCAGCCCUACCUGUGCCCACAUCCAGUCCCCAGCCAGGGCCAGGGAGCAAUGAUGGGACACAGGGGCACUUGCUCUGCCGACAUGGCCCGCUCACUACCCCAGGGAGGGGACAGGAAGGGGCAGAGUGGGCAUCACUCCAACUGCUGGGGGUGUAGGAAUUGAGGGGAAGUGUAGGAAGCCAAGAAACUGACCAGGGAAGGUGGGGAGACAGUGGGAGGUGGGACUCAUGAACUGUGGCUCCAAGCCUCUUGAGUACUGUUCCUUCAGACUUCACGUACAAAACAUAAACUAAAAGGUAAAAUUGUUAUAUUAGAUUGCUAGGGCUGCUGUAGUGAAGUACCACAGACUGGGUGGCUUAAAAAGCAGAAAUUUAUUUCCUCACUUGUUUGGAAGCUAGAAGUCCUACAUCAAGAUGUCCCUUACAGGUUGGUUUCAUCUGAGGCCCUUCUCCUUGGCUUGUAAACAGCCAUCUUGUUUCUCUUCCUUUACCACGUCUUUCCACUGUGUCUGUGUCCUAAUCUCUUCUUUGUACAAGAAAACAAGUCAUAUUGGAUUAAGGCUUACCCCAGUGACCUCAUUCAACCGUGUCUUUAAAGACACCAUGUUCAGAAUCUUUUUUUUUUUUUAACAUUUAUUUAUUUUCAAGAGAGAGAAGCAGAGCUUGAGUGAGGGAGGGGCAGAGAGAGAG